GACGAAGGAUGCAAGCGUUAUCCGGAUUCAUUGGGUUUAAAGGGAGCGUAGGCGGUCUAAUAAGUCAGUGGUGAAAUCUCUCGGCUUAACUGAGAAAUGGCCAUUGAUACUGUUGGACUUGAGUACAGAUGCCGUUGGCGGAAUAUGACAUGUAGUGGUGAAAUACAUAGAGAUGUCAUAGAACACCGAUUGCGAAGGCAGCUCACAAAGCCGUAACUGACGCUGAGGCUCGAAAGUGCGGGGAUCAAACAGG
RNAcentral lists this unclassified non-coding RNA (253 nucleotides) under uncultured Sphingobacteriales bacterium. RNAcentral describes it as "contains 16S-23S intergenic spacer region". It matches the Rfam family "Bacterial small subunit ribosomal RNA", at positions 524 to 776 of the family's 1533-position model. The record is from RNAcentral. Lineage: Bacteria; Pseudomonadati; Bacteroidota; Sphingobacteriia; Sphingobacteriales.